CGCCCUGCAGCCGGGAAGAAGGCGUUGAGGAAGAGAUGCACAUGCGUCAUGCUGGUGACAAGGAAAAACGCCAUAGUCGUGGCCUUCCACCCAAUGUCAUAGAUAGCCUAUCAGAAUGAAAUGACCAUGCAGAGCAAGGACUAGAGAAGAAGGGCAUUCCCACCACAGAGCACAUGAGCUAAUUGGAGCAGAAACAUUGCCAACAAUGGAAUGAAGCAUGGCAGACAGACUGCUUAGCACAGCAAGAAAAUGCUACUUUAAUGUGGAGCAAAAAAAGAAGGGUGAAGAUUAACCUUGCAGAAGUUGGAUGGAUUGUAUUUUCCAGUCUGUUCAAGACUGCAUUGGCUUGGCAAAUGAAUGCUUUACUCAACAAUGCAAAAUGAAGAUAACUAAGUAUUGCCCCAACAAUGCAAAGAAAGACACAUCCUGGAGAUUGAGAAAUUCCCUGAAGAAGGUCUCCAGCAUGAGUCAGAAAGCUUGGACUUCUGGUCCCGGUGACCAACUCAGAUUGGAUCCUGCAACAUUACCCUGGGCCACGUAUAUUUGCCUUCACAAAGAAAAUCAUUCUACUGAGCAAGGAACAAGACAAUAUUAGGAUUUAUCGGUUUGUAUUGAAUACUAAUAGCAAAGAGACUUAUAUACCACUUCACAGUGCUUUAUAGCCCUCUCUAAGCAGUUUACAGUCAGCAUAUUGUCCCCAACAAACUGGGUCCUCAUUCUAACCACUGCGCCACCAUGGCUCUUCAGUAUAAUAUAGUAUAUGGAAUAUGUAAAAUAAUGAGUUUCCUUAUGUACGAGAAUGUGUAAAGGCAGGAUUCUAACUAAGGUAUCACAAACGAAAGUGAGGUCUUCCAUCUCCUUACAAAAGAAAUGUAAUAUUUAAUUUCUUAAGUAUUGUAAUAUUUUUCAAGCUAUUUAACACAUUCCAAUGAUGUCAUUUCUGGGCAAUCACAACAGAUCAUUUCAAUGUUGUGCUCUGGUACAUAUUGUGCUGUAAAUUGCAUUUGCCUUGUUCUUCCAGUUUGGAGUCAUUCUUUUGGAACACGUUAUCUCUUUUUAUUUUAUUCAAUAAACAACUUGUUAUCCUCAGCAAA
Molecule: long non-coding RNA, 1094 nt
Organism: Crotalus tigris (Tiger rattlesnake)
Lineage: Eukaryota; Metazoa; Chordata; Lepidosauria; Squamata; Viperidae
Exons: 3
Source: RefSeq, a predicted model, not a curated record